Non-coding RNA from Lentinula detonsa, 95 nucleotides. NCBI's taxonomy places the organism in Eukaryota, Fungi, Basidiomycota, Agaricomycetes, Agaricales, Omphalotaceae. The record is from the annotation of a GenBank genome assembly.
GGGCGUAUGGUCUAGAGGUAUGAUUCCUGCUUUGGGCUUUGAGCUUCUUGAGCUUCUUGUGCAGGAGGUCCCCGGUUCAAUCCCGGGUGCGCCCC